This 284-nucleotide ribosomal RNA is filed under the name uncultured bacterium. Its description in RNAcentral is "partial 23S ribosomal RNA". It matches the Rfam family "Bacterial large subunit ribosomal RNA", at positions 115 to 414 of the family's 2925-position model. The record is from RNAcentral.
CGAAUGGGGCAACCCGGCACAGUGAAGCUGUGUCACCACGUAAGUGGGGUAAACCCGGUGAACUGAAACAUCUAAGUAACCGGAGGAAGAGAAAACAAUAGUGAUUCCGUUAGUAGUGGCGAGCGAACGCGGAUUAGCCCAAACCAGUGUUGUUACGGCAAUACUGGGGUUGUAGGACCACGACAUUUGAUGCUAAUUGAAUUAGAACUGUUUGGAAAGACAGACCGAAGAGGGUGAUAGUCCCGUAUAAGUAAGAUUAGUUAUUGAUAGUGGUAUCCUGAGUA